Molecule: ribosomal RNA, 491 nt
Filed under: uncultured bacterium
Lineage: Bacteria
Description: bacterial SSU rRNA
Rfam family: Bacterial small subunit ribosomal RNA
Source: RNAcentral
GAUGAACGCUAGCUACAGGCUUAACACAUGCAAGUCGAGGGGAAACGAUAGAGAAAGCUUGCUUUUUCUAGGCGUCGACCGGCGCACGGGUGAGUAACGCGUAUCCAACCUGCCCAUCACUUGGGGAUAACCUUGCGAAAGUAAGACUAAUACCCAAUGACGUCUCUAGAAGACAUCUGAAAGAGAUUAAAGAUUUAUCGGUGAUGGAUGGGGAUGCGUCUGAUUAGCUUGUUGGCGGGGGUAACGGCCCACCAAGGCGACGAUCAGUAGGGGUUCUGAGAGGAAGGUCCCCCACAUUGGAACUGAGACACGGUCCAAACUCCUACGGGAGGCAGCAGUGAGGAAUAUUGGUCAAUGGACGAGAGUCUGAACCAGCCAAGUAGCGUGCAGGAAGACGGCCCUAUGGGUUGUAAACUGCUUUAUAAGGGAAUAAAGUGAGUCUCGUGAGACUUUUUGCAUGUACCUUAUGAAUAAGGACCGGCUAAUCCGUG